UACAGAGGUCCCAAGCGUUGUUCGGAUUUACUGGGCGUAAAGGGCGCGUAGGCGGCCAGCACAAGUCAGUUGUGAAAUCUCCGAGCUUAACUCGGAAAGGUCAACUGAUACUGUGCGGCUAGAGUGCGGAAGGGGCAACUGGAAUUCUUGGUGUAGCGGUGAAAUGCGUAGAUAUCAAGAGGAACACCUGCGGCGAAGGCGGGUUGCUGGGCCGACACUGACGCUGAGGCGCGAAAGCCAGGGGAGCAAACGGG
RNAcentral lists this ribosomal RNA (254 nucleotides) under uncultured bacterium. Its description in RNAcentral is "partial 16S ribosomal RNA". It matches the Rfam family "Bacterial small subunit ribosomal RNA", at positions 524 to 776 of the family's 1533-position model. The record is from RNAcentral.